Molecule: ribosomal RNA, 460 nt
Filed under: uncultured bacterium
Lineage: Bacteria
Description: partial 16S ribosomal RNA
Rfam family: Bacterial small subunit ribosomal RNA
Source: RNAcentral
CCUACGGGAGGCAGCAGUGAGGAAUAUUGGUCAAUGGACGAGAGUCUGAACCAGCCAAGUCGCGUGAAGGAUGACUGCCCUACGGGUUGUAAACUUCUUUUAUAUGGGAAUAAAAUGUUCCACGUGUGGGAUUAUGUAUGUAACAUAUGAAUAAGGCUCGGCUAAAUCCGUGCCAUCCGCCGCGGUAAUACGGAGGAUCCGAGCGUUUAACGGAUUUUUUUGGUUUAAAGGGAGCGUAGGUCGAUUGUUAAGUCAGUUGUGAAAGUUUGCGGCUCAACCGUAGAAUUGCAGUUGAAACUGGCAGUCUUGAGUACAGUAGAGGUGGGCGGAAUGCGUGGUGUAGCGGUGAAAUGCUUAGAUAUCACGAAGAACUCCGAUUGCGAAGGCAGCUCACUGGACUGCAACUGACACUGAGGCUCGAAAGUGUGGGUAUCAAACAGGAUUAGAUACCCUAGUAGUC